This 228-nucleotide long non-coding RNA is filed under the name Lathyrus oleraceus (garden pea). RNAcentral's name for it is "Pisum sativum (pea) long non-coding RNA (PSAT_LNC027000)". The record is from RNAcentral. Lineage: Eukaryota; Viridiplantae; Streptophyta; Magnoliopsida; Fabales; Fabaceae.
AAGACUUUCUUGAGCACGAGGUCACCUUCUCGGAACACACGAGGCUUGACCUUCUUAUCGAAUGCUUUCUUCAUUCUCUGCUGAUAUAACUGUCCAUGACACAUGGCAGUUAAUCUCGUCUCUUCAAUCAGAUUCAACUGGUCAUAACGACUCUGAAUCCAUUCAGCAUCAGUCAACUAGGACUUUGAGGGUAUGCUUUUUUCUCUUGAAAAACUUUUGAAAACUUUU